RNAcentral lists this ribosomal RNA (230 nucleotides) under Listeria monocytogenes. RNAcentral's name for it is "partial 16S ribosomal RNA". It matches the Rfam family "Bacterial small subunit ribosomal RNA", at positions 1313 to 1533 of the family's 1533-position model. Lineage: Bacteria; Bacillati; Bacillota; Bacilli; Caryophanales; Listeriaceae. The record is from RNAcentral.
CGCCUACAUGAAGCCGGAAUCGCUAGUAAUCGUGGAUCAGCAUGCCACGGUGAAUACGUUCCCGGGCCUUGUACACACCGCCCGUCACACCACGAGAGUUUGUAACACCCGAAGUCGGUAGGGUAACCUUUAUGGAGCCAGCCGCCGAAGGUGGGACAGAUAAUUGGGGUGAAGUCGUAACAAGGUAGCCGUAUCGGAAGGUGCGGCUGGAUCACCUCCUUUCUAAGGAA